This 72-nucleotide transfer RNA is filed under the name Mizuhopecten yessoensis (Yesso scallop). RNAcentral's name for it is "tRNA-Phe". It matches the Rfam family "tRNA". From Rfam's summary of the family: Transfer RNA (tRNA) molecules are approximately 80 nucleotides in length. The record is from Rfam by way of RNAcentral. Lineage: Eukaryota; Metazoa; Mollusca; Bivalvia; Pectinida; Pectinidae.
GACCAGAUAGCUCAAUUGGUAGAGCGUCCGUUUAAAGUUCGGAAGGUCCCGGGUUCGAACCCCGGUUUGGCG